CCUACGGGAGGCAGCAGUGAGGAAUAUUGGUCAAUGGCCGGAAGGCUGAACCAGCCAAGCCGCGUGAAGGACGAAGGUGCCAAGCAUUGUAAACUUCUUUUGUCAAGGGACAACAUCAGGCUCGAGAGCCUGACCGAGGGUACUUGAAGAAAAAGAAUCGGCAAACUCCGUGCCAGAAGCCGCGGUACUACGAGGGAUGCGAGGGUUAUCCGGAUUUAUUGGGUUAAAGGGGUGCGUAGGGGGGCUGUAAAGGCAGCGUGAAAAGCCCGGGGCUCAACCCCGGCGAGCCGUUGAAACUGGGUGUCUUGAGAUGUCGAGAGGGAUGCGGAAUGCGCAGUGUAGCGGUGAAAUGCGUAGAUAUUGCGCAGAACUCCGGUUGCGAAGGCAGCAUGCCGGCGGCGAUCUGACGCUGAGGCACGAAAGCGUGGGUAGCGAACAGGAUUAGAUACCCUUGUAGUC
Molecule: ribosomal RNA, 459 nt
Filed under: uncultured bacterium
Lineage: Bacteria
Description: partial 16S ribosomal RNA
Rfam family: Bacterial small subunit ribosomal RNA
Source: RNAcentral